AGUCGAGCGAUGAACACCUUCGGGUGUGAAUUAGCGGCGAACGGGUGAGGAACACGUGAAGAAUCUGCCUUCAACUCUGGGAUAACUCCGGGAAACCGGGGCUAAUACCGGAUAUGAGCCUUGAUCGCAUGAUCGGGGCUGGAAAGUUUUUCGGUUGAAGAUGACUUCGCGGCCUAUCAGCUUGUUGGUGAGGUAAUGGCUCACCAAGGCGACGACGGGUAGCCGGCCUGAGAGGGCGACCGGCCACACUGGGACUGAGACACGGCCCAGACUCCUACGGGAGGCAGCAGUGGGGAAUAUUGGGCAAUGGAGGAAACUCUGACCCAGCGACGCCGCGUGAGGGAUGAAGGCCUUCGGGUUGUAAACCUCUUUCAGUAGGGAAGAAGCGAAAGUGACGGUACCUACAGAAGAAGCACCGGCUAACUAUGUGCCAGCAGCCGCGGUAAUACAUAGGGUGCAAGCGUUGUCCGGAAUUAUUGGGCGUAAAGAGCUCGUAGGUGGUUCGAUACGUCGGAUGUGAAAAUCAGGGGCUCAACCCCUGACCUGCAUCCGAUACGGUCGAGCUAGAGUUUGGUAGGGGAGACUGGAAUUCCUGGUGUAGCGGUGGAAUGCGCAGAUAUCAGGAGGAACACCGAUGGCGAAGGCAGGUCUCUGGGCCAAUACUGACACUGAGGAGCGAAAGCGUGGGGAGCGAACAGGAUUAGAUACCCUGGUAGUCCACGCCGUAAACGGUGGGCGCUAGUUGUGCGAACCUUCCACGGUUUGUGCGACGCAGCUAACGCAUUAAGCGCCCCGCCUGGGGAGUACGAUCGCAAGAUUAAAACUCAAAGGAAUUGACGGGGCCCCGCACAAGCAGCGGAGCAUGCGGCUUAAUUCGACG
Molecule: ribosomal RNA, 880 nt
Filed under: uncultured bacterium
Lineage: Bacteria
Description: bacterial SSU rRNA
Rfam family: Bacterial small subunit ribosomal RNA
Source: RNAcentral